RNAcentral lists this ribosomal RNA (253 nucleotides) under uncultured bacterium. Its description in RNAcentral is "partial 16S ribosomal RNA". It matches the Rfam family "Bacterial small subunit ribosomal RNA", at positions 524 to 776 of the family's 1533-position model. The record is from RNAcentral.
UACGAAGGGGGCUAGCGCUGCUCGGAAUCACUGGGCGUAAAGCGCACGUAGGCGGAUAUUUAAGUCAGGGGUGAAAUCCCAGAGCUCAACUCUGGAACUGCCUUUGAUACUGGGUAUCUCGAGUAUGGAAGAGGUGAGUGGAAUUCCGAGUGUAGAGGUGAAAUUCGUAGAUAUUCGGAGGAACACCAGUGGCGAAGGCGGCUCACUGGUCCAUUACUGACGCUGAGGUGCGAAAGCGUGGGGAGCAAACAGG